RNAcentral lists this ribosomal RNA (835 nucleotides) under uncultured bacterium. RNAcentral describes it as "bacterial SSU rRNA". It matches the Rfam family "Bacterial small subunit ribosomal RNA", at positions 8 to 814 of the family's 1533-position model. The record is from RNAcentral.
AGAGUUUGAUCCUGGCUCAGGAUGAACGCUGGCGGCGUGCUUAACACAUGCAAGUCGAACGGGAAUUACUUUAUUGAAGCUUCGGUCGAUUUAAUUUAAUUCUAGUGGCGGACGGGUGAGUAACGCGUAGGUAACCUGCCUUGUAGCGGGGGAUAACUAUUGGAAACGAUAGCUAAUACCGCAUAACAAUGGAUGACACAUGUCAUUUAUUUGAAAGGGGCAAUUGCUCCACUACAAGAUGGACCUGCGUUGUAUUAGCUAGUAGGUGAGGUAACGGCUCACCUAGGCGACGAUACAUAGCCGACCUGAGAGGGUGAUCGGCCACACUGGGACUGAGACACGGCCCAGACUCCUACGGGAGGCAGCAGUAGGGAAUCUUCGGCAAUGGGGGCAACCCUGACCGAGCAACGCCGCGUGAGUGAAGAAGGUUUUCGGAUCGUAAAGCUCUGUUGUAAGUCAAGAACGAGUGUGAGAGUGGAAAGUUCACACUGUGACGGCAGCUUACCAGAAAGGGACGGCUAACUACGUGCCAGCAGCCGCGGUAAUACGUAGGUCCCGAGCGUUGUCCGGAUUUAUUGGGCGUAAAGCGAGCGCAGGCGGUUUGAUAAGUCUGAAGUUAAAGGCUGUGGCUCAACCAUAGUUCGCUUUGGAAACUGUCAAACUUGAGUGCAGAAGGGGAGAGUGGAAUUCCAUGUGUAGCGGUGAAAUGCGUAGAUAUAUGGAGGAGCACCGGUGGCGAAAGCGGCUCUCUGGUCUGUAACUGACGCUGAGGCUCGAAAGCGUGGGGAGCGAACAGGAUUAGAUACCCUGGUAGUCCAUGCCGUAAACGAUGAGU